Molecule: ribosomal RNA, 351 nt
Filed under: Triticum aestivum (bread wheat)
Lineage: Eukaryota; Viridiplantae; Streptophyta; Magnoliopsida; Poales; Poaceae
Description: partial small subunit ribosomal RNA
Source: RNAcentral
AUGAUUUGGACUGUAGAAGUUGGUGUACAGAAGAAGAAAGGGCGAGGUGUUCUAAAAGGUUUUAAAGCAUCUAAGAAGUGUUUUGCCAAUGGAUCUGCAAAGCUAAAUAUUACAUUCUCUGAAAAAUUGGGUGGUAUAGUAGGAAUGAACUAUCGUUCAUUCAAGGAUGAUGUGGUAGUCAUAAUGAAAAGAAAGUUACCACUCAUUGGAGUGAGGACGUGGUCGGGCAUUCACCCUACCAUCCAUCAACUCAUUGUUGUAGAUAUGAUAGACAUAUGGGACUUGGAAGAUACACCAGAAACAGAAGAAAAAGUUCUCAAAAUUGCGAAAGAGCGAUAUAGAGGCUGGUGA